CCCUUAGAUGUCCUGGGCCGCACGCGCGCUACACUGAUGCAUUCAACGAGUUUUACCUUGGCCGAGAGGCCUGGGCAAUCUUUUAAACCUGCAUCGUGAUAGGGAUAGAUUAUUGCAAUUAUUAAUCUUGAACGAGGAAUUCCUAGUAAACGCAAAUCAUCAAUUUGCAUUGAUUACGUCCCUGCCCUUUGUACACACCGCCCGUCGCACCUACCGAUUGAAUGGUCCGGUGAAGCCUCGGGAUUGUGGCCAGUUCACUUUAUUGGGAGUUGGCUGUGAGAACUUGUCUAAACCUUAUCAUUUAGAGGAAGUUGAAGUCGUAACA
Molecule: ribosomal RNA, 325 nt
Filed under: uncultured eukaryote
Lineage: Eukaryota
Description: partial 18S ribosomal RNA
Rfam family: Eukaryotic small subunit ribosomal RNA
Source: RNAcentral